AAGAACAGGAGUUGGAGCAUUUAACCAAAGAACUCCGACAGGUGAACUUGCAGCAGUUUAUACAGCAGACAGGAACAAAGGUCACUGUGCUGCCAGCAGAACCCACUGAAGAUGACCAAUCGCAAACAGAGAAGGAAAAAGAAACAACAUUUCAGACAGGCUCUUUGAAACGUCCAGGUUCCUCAAGACAACUUCCAAGUAAUCUUCGAAUUCUUCAGAAUCCAUUGACAUCUGGCUUUAAUCCUGAGGGCAUAUAUGUAUAGUUGACAUUCCUCUGUUUGGACAUACCCCAUCAAGGUGCAAGUACUGUUUGGGGGUAUCUGCCACUGCAGCAGAACUGAUCCAUGAGAUGGCCUACAUUGGGUACACAUCUACUCUGAGCCACUUAAAUCCGACCUGCAGGAAUUAACACUACCAUACUCACCAGAAAUAGUGUUACAGUUGCUAUGCCUUCUGUGUCAUUGACUUUACUUACAGUGUUAUAGAAAAUAUUUCAUUGUAAUAUUAGCAGAAAUGUGCAGGGCAAAAAAAUUAUGUAAGUUAUUGAUUUCAGUAAUGCAUCAUGUACACAUGUUCAUAUUUCAUACAGUAUUCAUUUUAUCCAUUAAGACCUUCUAUUUUUCUAAUUUUGUACCCAUGUGUCUGUUUAGAAAAUAUAUUCUAUGGUUUGAUUCAGAAGCUGUCAUUCUUCUGUGUAGACAGCCUAAAUGUCUGCCAAAGCAUCAGUAUAGCUGAGAUGGUAUAUUAAGAAAUUUUUGACAUUCUGACUUGUUAAAUAUUUUUUGGAGGGGAGCAUAAUACCCUAAAGAGAGCCAAAGAAGUGUGCCUUUUUCACUACAAAGGGGAACAUAACAUAUUAAACUGGUGUACUUACACUGCCUUGUGCUUUACAUGGACAUAAAACUGUGACUUUAAGCAUGGUUGUGACUUUCAAAGCAAUUUUUAUGACACUGUGUACUGAACAGUAUAUUACCUGCUUAGUAGCUGUUUCUGUCAGUAUUUAAUGCAUGCCCCCCCCCCCCCCCCAAGAAUAGGAAGGACAUUCUACCUUUCAUUCCUGUGAUCAGUACUUAUGCAAGACCACCAAUGUUCUUGGUGUACCAUCAGCAUUUAUUGUGUAGUCUCAAGCAAAUGAAAGACCACCUGUAGUAUUGUAAAACAUCACUAGGAACUAGUGGAAAUGUGCUAUAUUGUCGUAUAAGGAGCUCACUUGAGUCCAUAUCCCAAUUUUAUGCAUAAAUUACCAGAAUCCUUUUAGGAAAGGUCCAAUCCGUGUGCACUUAAGUUCCUUAACAUAUGCUGAUAUGCACUUCUUGUGCAUAUUACAUAAAGGCAGUAGCAUGCACUUAGUAUGUGAGGCAGAACAAGGCAUCAUUUGACCCCUUAAGUAAUUAAUGAAUUUGAUUUCUUCCUGGGUGGGCAGCUGUUGAAAAGGCUCAUAAAAGAUGCAAGUUUGGUUAGGAAGUCUGUUUUAGUAGCAUAGGUUUUGCAAACACAAGGAAAGAUGCAUUUAUAAAGACUUUGAGAACCCCGUACUUUUACUAACAGAAAUUCUGGCACUGUCUGGUAGUUGGGAAGACUCCUUGUAUAAAUUACAGAUGAUUAAAGCAUGUUACUUUUUUGAGUUUAACUGGUAGAUUGAAGAAAGUUUCAUAGCUCUAUAAUUUGUGAUUUGCAGUAACAAAAGCUCUCUAAAAUGAUUUAACUGUAUGACUGAUAGAACUAAUGUUACAAUUAUAUUACCAUAUAUCAUUUGCAGUUUUUAGCAGACUUGUUAUGGAUACGUUCUGGUAAUAAAUACAUUUCAUACUUAACUAGACUGUUUAUAGAUGUGGCGAUAGUAGUAGUCUUAUUGAAGUCUCUGCCACUCCUUGUGGUGAUCAGUGUUUCAUAAAAACAGUGUUUGGUAUAUUAACUGUGAUCAAAGAUGACCAAAAUGGUUUAAAAGCCAACAAAGCUACACAAGUUUUUCAUUUUAGUCAUAGCUAGAAAAUAGAGCAGAACUGCAAAUACAUGAUUUCUUCUUUUUCAGAUGGACUGUAAUAUCCUUAAUGGACAACGGCACCCUACACUUUAACUCAACCCAUCGUACAUUUUCCGCAUUAAAUAUUUUGAUACUUUCUUUAGGAAUUUGUUUCCCUGUAUGGUUGCAUCCUACUGUCAAAUGCAUUUAACAUUUUUAGCCCUGGAAAAGUUUGCAUAACAAGGUUUUUAUAGUGCUGCCUUCUUUCCUUCCCAUUCUGGUCGCAAUCCCCUUGAAUCUGUUGGCUAGCAGAUUUGCUGUGUAGGUUCAAGAAGCCAGGAAAUGUGACAGCUACAGCUGAAAUAUUGAGAAAAUAGAAGAGAAUAUUUAGAAAAAAAUAAGUUUUGCUGUUUUACAAGAGUGAGCUGGUUUUAUGGGUCUCUGCAUAUGAAAUAAAAAGUCUUAAAGUGGAAGUGAAUAUAAAUCCAGAGAGUCACUGAUAAAAAAUGUUCUUGUAUUCCCCAAGUUUUUGAAUUAAGCAGCAAUUCAGAAUACUUCCAUUUUUUUGAAUAAAUAGAUAAACAUAAUGUGUAAGUAAAAGUAAAAUGUCAUAUUUUGGGAAUAUAGAGUAUAUUGUGGGAAACAGAACCUUUAGCGGGAAAAAUUUGAUCUUGAUGGCACACACAUUACCACUUAACAUGGAUGCUGGAAAAUCAGUACUGUGCAAAAAGAUCAAGAUGUGAGUUUCAAUUUCUGAUCAUUGUUACCCUUUAAGUAGCUGCUCUUAUAAACAGAGCUAGAAGGAUGAUGAUCAUGCUCCAGCCACAGAACUGUUAGAAGUGUGUGGAGGUUGCACAAAGAAACUCCAUUUUAUUUUAAAACUGUUAUACUUUCAGGAAGACAUUCCUUUUCUUGCUGUUGCAUGUGCAGUUUUCAGGAACUUAUGUAAAGGCUGCGUGUCUUCUGUUAACCUUUAUUGAUGCAGACUUAUUUGGCAGUUCUGUAAAAGCUGAAGGGACUUGCCUAUGAGAAGGCACUGUCUUUUAGAGGCAUAAAGGACACAGUUGUGGUCUGUUCUGAACUAUCCCACCAUGCUGUAUACAGGUGGUGUACUGGCUUUUUUUCUCAGUUUGAUCACAGAAUAUUGGUGGAGGGAGAGAGGCGACAUGGAUUUCAUGAUUGAUUUUCAACAAGUUAUCUUCCCAACUAGCACCUACAAACACAUAUUUGUUUACUGUUUUCUUUACAACUGGGGGGUUUACUCAUCACUACCCAACAGUCACUGGUUGCCCCUACCGUUAUGGUCAGUGGUGAAUCAUUUGCUUUCGGUGGUUGACCUCUUCAAGGAUUCUUACCCAGUCCACACACACAAAGAUUGAUACUGCAGUAUCUUCUGCCUUGCAGUACCAGGGAUGAAUAUGGUGACUUCAGUGUGCUCCUUCAUUGUGCUUUCCUCUUCCCAAAGUGGCACCUGUCACCUUACCCAAUGUAAACUGUCCUAUGCUCCAAAGACAUCUGUGUUUAUCUCCUUCUUUGGUUUCAGUUCAUAUUAUAUCUUCUUUGGAAUUUCUGUGCACAAGUGACUAUACUGAAAAUGGUUUUUAUGCCUCCUUUGCUCUUUUUUAUCUUUAGAUGUAACAUGUUGGACAUUUUCUGUGAUUUAACAUCCUUGUCAGGGAUGGGGAAUGACAGAUGUGUGUACUUUCUCCGGUCACUAGAAGAGAGAACAUUGCACUUGGAAUGAUGGCAGUAUUGGGUCACUCAAGGUCCAGCUGCAGUGAUAUCUUUAGUUGUGUGACUUUGCAGGUUAUUCUGUUUAGGGCACUCCUGUAGGGCCCUAUUCAAAUUCUGAUGUCUCAGUGUCUCUAGCAGACAUACCUUCUUUUGUCAUUCAGUGAUGAAACCUUUCUUAAAUUAUGCUUCCCACUGCCAUACAAAGGACUCUGUACUGAAAGUUUUGUUGCCAUAUAACCUUAGGGUGAUGCAUUUCAUCAACACUGCUUCUGACGACACUGAGAUAUCUUAACUGUCAGAGUGGUGCUCCUUUAGUGUUUUAAACUCCAAUGAUUAGAUUUAAAAAUCUACUUUGGUAGAAGGAAUGUGUAAGAAAGGUCUAAGGCAUUGUUGGUUCCUUAAAUGUUUGAAUAAUUUUCUCUUCUAUAGCCUGUAGUCACUGAAAUAGGUUUACAGUGCAUUUGGUGCACCACGUAUAGUGCUGUUGGCUGUGCCCCUUUGCAGUGCCAUGUACUGUUCACAAGUGGUUCAGCUGAAGUGGAAAGCUUCACUGAGGAAAUUGGGUUGGCUAAUUUUCAUUCCAUUCUUCAUGUCAUAUUUAUAAGCUGCAGAUUUUCUGAGUAAGAGCUUCAAACCUGAAGUUUUUAGCUGUAGCUUAUGAUAGGACUACACUUUGUAUUAUACAGCCACAAAGAUGAACAAAGCAUUUCCAUUAUACUGCUUUUGGGGAAAAUUCUAGGUAUAUUUAGAAAGGCUGUGAUUUCAGGGGAAAGUUCAGCCUCUCCUUUUAACUAGAAAAGUGGAUGAAGAACUGCACAUCACUUAAAGAACACCUUUUUGUCAAUGCUCUUAACCAAGUAAUGCCACAACAGCCAGAAGUUGUCAUCUUCUUUCCAGAUCAGGUGGUCAGAUUCACUAAAGACACUUAAACUCUGCACAUUAAGGAGCAAGGCCUCUACUGAUGUUUUUUCAGAUGAACUUUAGGGCAGCCUAUUGAUUUGUGCUGCAACAUAUCGCCUGUUAAUUGUGAAAUCUAAAUGCAGUUUCACACUACUAAAUUACAUCUGAAAAAUAAACUUUUAUGUGGCCCCCUCCUGCGUCCUUUAUUUUAUGGUGUCUUUUUUACCCAUCUUAGACCUUUGCAAUUUAUAUACCAUUAUCUACUACAAGAGUCCCUCCAGGUGGUCCUCUGAGGGCCUCACUCUGUUUUCAGCUACAGAGACUGAAUAUGUGCUCCUUACAUUUAUCAGAAUUUAUGCUUGGUGUCUACCAAAAGUAGCUCCAAGUUACAGUUUCAAGCACCAUCAUAUUUUAUUAUGCCUUAUUGUGUGGGUUAUCCAAACUUCUCAAGUCUUUAAAAAUGUUGGGGAUUGGUUGCUUUAAUUCGAGAGAAAUGCUGCACUAGUUUUUGUAUCUAAUGCAUUGCCUGCUGCUUAUUAAAUUUGAUUAACUCAGUCUUUAUCUUCUUUAUGCACGUGUCCUGUUUUAUAAAAUCUCCUCUUCAUUUUGUACUUUGCAUCUUUUCUGAUCAAAUAUGCUGUUUCUUUUGUAAAUUUUUCAUAGGAUUAUAGUUUUCCUGUUUAUGUAACAAGAUUUUGACUGAAACCAGGCCCUAUUGGUUCAGUUCACUUAACCACAAACAAACCGAUACAUAAAUAUGUGAAGGUGGGAGACAGGAGUUCAUUUUGUCUGCUGACAAGCUGUAGAGAAAGCCCCUGCUUCAUUCUAAGAGCUGUUCUCAGUGCUCAUAUUUAAUGCCAGGUCUGACAAGACUGUACCCUGGACUACAUCGAUUGCAACUGGUGCUGAUAUGGAUUCUAAGGGCAUCCUGUGGGGGAAGGGCAGUGUGCUGUGCUUCAUCUGCCAAAGGGUUUUUCUUUUAAGGCCUAUCCCUUGUUUUGCCUCCCUCCUUUGAUUACUUUGAUUUUUAUUGUAGGGGUGGGGACUGCAUUGGGAGUAUGCAACCUCUCAUCCUGCCUCUCUGGAAGCACAGCCUCUCUCUCUCACCUUAUUCCAGCUCAAGUCCCAGCCUCCACCACAGACAUGAAGGGGAAUGCCCACAUAACCAGCUCCCACACUGUGAUUGAUGGGCACUUUUCCAUCCUUCCCUGCUGUUCCAUCAGACAACCAAGCUGCUAAUUAAACUCACAUCGCCUGGGUUGUUAGGACUUUUUUGCACUAUGCCACCAUAGCUGGUCUGUACUUAAAAUAAUGGGAUAAUAUGGCUACUCUAGGGAACCAACCAAUGUUUUUCCUUACAUUUAUGUUUCUUAUAUUUGUCAAAAGGAAGUUGUAUGUAGUUCUUUCACUGGGAAAUGGUCAACUAAUUGUGUUGCUUUUUGUUUAUAAAGCUUUUCUUAACAAACCUCCUUUUUUAAAUGUUUAUACUUUCUCCUGCAGUGGUUAUACUGCUCUUUGUUUUAGCCAUAUAUUGUGUCUUCUCAUGUCACCGCUAUACACCACAGUCCCACCUUCUGUAUUGAUCAUGCAAAGUAAGCAUGCUUUUCAAGGGAAUGUAGACUUUCACUGCUGCACCUUUUUUUUUUUUUUCUUCAAAUCCAGGUAUUGCAAAGUAAUUUUCUAUGACAUUGGGAUGCGUCUGUCAGUCGAGCAGGUGUUGAGCAGGCAGGCACACUUUGUUUUCCACCUAACCUAGAAACUGCAACUACUUUCUCUCUGUUACAUGUCCAACCCCCAGCUUUUGGCCACGGCAGUUAGUGACUGAAUGCACACCUUCUGCAAAGGUACAACAAGCACUGGAAGCUCUCUGUACUAUAAACCCUGGUCACCAGCAAAUGAUGUCUGUUCCUGUCCUCAGGUUUCUGAUAUUAAGUAUGAAAAAUGUCUGUAAAACAGUCUGACCUGAACCUCCUGUUUCUGCUUACUUCUGUGGAAGGAGGUGCCUCCUUUGGCCGAUAAGACUGUGCUUGUGCUACUGUAUUACCGUACACGUUGUUACUAAAAGAUGCAAGGUAUCUGUUAACCAGAAUUGUUUUGCUAUCUUGUAUACUCUUUCAAGUUAUGUAUUUUAAGCAUUUGUGUGUUUGGUCACCCAGACUCUUGCAUUGCAGUGGACAUUGUGAACAGGUUUUCAUGCUUUAGUAAAUAAUCUGCUGAUGCCUGUGAAACAACAUCACACCAGCGGUUGUCUUGGUGUAGUAAAUACUCAGGUUAAUGUAGUGGCUUGUAAUAUUUAUCGAAUGUUUCAUCAGAGCUACUACUGCAAAAUCUUUUAUUCCCUAAUGCAUACUGUCAUUUUUUGAUGCACCUUUCAUUUUGUCCUCACUUUUCAUUGGGUAUCCUUUUUUUGCUUUAUUUCUCUUAAACUGAUCUUCAACGUAUCUUAUUUAAAUGCUAGGCAUUCUUUUCUUUGUAACUAGACAGAGUACCUGAUCAUAUACACUUGUUUUAGAAUAUCAACACUAGAUAAUACGACCAAGGAGGGUAGGAUUUGGGAUAGACUGGAGAUUGUCCUAUGCAAUAAUAAUUCACAAAAAAAAAAAAAAAAACUUCUGAGAUCCUCUUGAAUAUCUUUUGUUAUAGUUCAUUUUUAGCCUAUUAAUUCUGAUUAACCUUUUAUGGUAUACUUGUUUCUGUAAUCGGGCAACACUUUUUUUUCUUUCCUUGCUGUAAGUCCUUGGCCUCUGUUUGCUUGCAUUCCUUUUCAUGUUAACAUUUUUCUGUGUGCAGUGUACUUUUAUUUUGUUAUAUUUUGUAAAGUUUAGGCACUUGCUAACAGUAGAUACGUGUACAUUUUUGUGUAGCACAAUAAUACAGACUUUGUAGUUUCUUUACCUGCUCAUCUAGCCACAUGUUCCUCCUGCUUCUUAAGAAUUCCUUCAGUUUCAUUUAACAGUACCUAAUUUAAACCCUGUCUUGCCACUAUCCUCCCUCAGGCCAGUCAUGUCUGGAGUAAAUUUGUAGAUAUCCAUCCCAAUCAUCUAGGUUACGUUUAAAGGAAAGUUGUGAAUGCCACUACUUAACAUGCAGGGAAGCUGUUUAUUCCAGAGGUUUGAGAGGCACCAGCUUAUAAACCUGUCUCUCUACAGUGUUUAUCUGUUGCUGAAGAUUUAGGUCCCUGGUUCUUUUCUAAUAUUACUUGAGGUAUUGGACUUCUGGAGAAGUGGGAAGCCCAGAACAAUUGGGUCUCUAAUGCAUGGUAAGCAAGACAGGCGUUUCCCCUCAAAAGUCUAUAAGGCACCAAAUAAAGGGAUAGAGCUGCCAGCCUGCCUUGGUUGCUCAGAAACGUAUGAUGUGAUCUUUAAGGGUUAGACAAGUGUAGGGGAGUGGUUACCUCUUUAGAUUGAUAUUCCUUUGGCAAUUAGCUCAGCUAAGUAAAAGGAUUUCAUGGCAAUUAUUGUUGCAUGAUAAUCAAAAGACAGGGGCUGUCAACCCAGGUACUUGGGUCCCCAAGUACAUUUUCAUUUUGUAGAGGUGCGAUUUCUAGAUGGUAAGAUAAGGAGGGAGGUGUUGUUUACCAAAAGUAAUGAUACUAAACGUUUUAGUAUUGUUUGAGUACAGUAUUAACACUCCAAGAGUUUACUAGGGAGACUUUAUUCUGCAGGGCGUGGGUGUCCUAAUUUACUCCUGUCGUACUGUCCAUACUAUUCACCCUUUUGUAAAAACAUUUUUUGUUAAAUAGACUUGCUUUCUUUUUCAUUAUAUCAAACAUUAAAUCACAAUUAACUAGUGUGUUCCUAAUCACUACUGCCUGUGGCAUUAUAAAGCAAUGUGUUUGACACCACUCCCUCUGGUGUGAUGUAAAUUACUCUGCACUAGGAUCACUCCCAUUCAUACUACAAGCUAGUCUGUCACUGGUACCAUUUCCUGUGGCACUACACUAAUUUUAAUUUUUACUCCAAGACUUCUAGAUAGCAGUGCCCUAAUUCUUCUGCCAUUAUUCAUGCCUUGCAUAUCUUUAUAAAUGUAUAACAAACUGCUAAAGUAUUUGCAGCAUACUUAGAACAUUUCAGUAUGUAAUUGGGUUAAUUACCUUUAUCAUAAAAAUGCUUCUGCAUAUUAGAACAUUCUUCCAACAUUUUGCCCCUGAUGCAUGAUGCUGGGUAGCCUUUCUAAGAGCACUUUGACUUGAUGGAUAAUUCAUUCUUCUUCUCCUCCAUGGCUUUACUCUCUGUCCAGUGGUUUAUGUGAUAAGAAAUGAUGGUGUCAAAAACCUCCUUUUAACCCCUCCUACACUUCCAAAAUGCAUCCAGCUGUUUUUAAUGCACGCUCCAGCUACAUUAUUUGUCUGGCAUCUGUAAAUGUUAGUCAUUAAUGAUCACCAUUCUUUCAUAUCUGCUACCUAGGGUUGGUCCUCCAAGUUUGCUCUCUGCCCUGAGCAUAAGACAAAAGUAAAAGUUUUGAUGAGUUUUACUUGUCCCUUUUUCUCACUUUACCUGUCACAGUAGCGUUUUUUUUUGUGUGUGAUUAUGUGAGAUUUACAUGCAUUUCUAAUGUUGCAGCACUUUUUGUUUUACCUUUCUUUUGUGAAUUUGUAUUGUUUAGUACACUUAGUCGGAUCGCACUUUGCUCUUAUUUUUAUAUGCAUUUUAUACUGCAUUUCUAUACUUUCUGCCUUUUACUUUUUUGUAAGUCGUAACACUUUUUUAGCCAUUAAGAUUUGUUGGUUUAAAACAUUCCAUUCAGUCGGCCAUAAGAGGAUGCCUCAUGCCUAUUGACAGCAUUCUGAUCAACUAAAUUUGUUUCACGUAGUCUACUGGUUUGUUUCCCAGCUCCCUCUUUUUGUACACUUUUCCUGUUUUAAAACUUGCAUAUCAACUCCUUUAGUACAUAUACUUCUGUCAUCCCAAACAGUUAACAUUACAGUCUUAUGACUUUGUGUGACUCAUGUUCAUAUACAUCAUAUUUGUUUUCUUCUGGAAAAUCUGAAGGAGAACUUGACAACUUCAUCUUUAGACAACCAGAAAAGACCCUUUUAUUCCAUAUUCAUAAGUAGUGUUGAAACUUUGCUUGUACAGUAAAAGAAAAAAAUGAAUUUUAACUAUAUUUUUAACAAUUUGAGUCUGUUGAUAUCGCUGUGUACUUUUACCCUGAAUAAGCUUCAGCUCAACCUGUAGAAAAUAAAUGGAAGCUGCAGAUUAGUUCUGAGAGUAUGAUAUAUUUUACUUAUGUACUGUAUGAGAUCAAAGAUCAUUUACAAGUAGUUACAUAUGACAUAGCAUAUCUUUCUUAAAUGAAUAUUAAAAGGAAAGUGCCCUGUGCGUGUUUCUGUGAGCCUGUAUGUUUUGGAAGAGGAAUAAUAAAUCUCUAUUUGUUUAUGUCCAUUUACACAGGUUGUGUGUGUUUAGGUUAGUCUGUGUCACUGUGGGUUCUGUUCCCACACUAGGUACUUGAUUCAUUUUCCAAUGCUAAUGCUGCAGUAUAGCAUAAAGGAGGUAAUGCACACAUGUGCCAUCCUUCAAACAGAAUGCUAAACCUAGGUCUCAGCUGCCUGACUUGGUAUCUCAGGUUGAUGUAAACCAUCCUGCAGCACUUACGGAAAAGAGUAGGGUAAUUUCUGUGGCCAAAUUUCCUGUAGUCAGUAUGAAUACCACCUUGGGUUCCUCCUGAAAGUAGGCCUUAGGCCUAAUUAACUAUAAAUUGGUCGACAAAUUAAUGAAAUUACACACACGUAUUUUAAUUUCCAAAAGUCAUGGUCUCACUUUUGCAAGGAUAUGAGUCUGUGUAUGUAUGCAGAAGCCAAAAUAAGUUGCACUGUUAGUACUAAUAUUUUGUGGUGUAUAUGUUUUUCACGAGUCUUUCUAGAUCAUUCUAAGCUUCAGAAAAUAAGGUUUUAAUAAAUGGCCUGUGUAGGACUUGAACAUGCUGAUUGUGUUAAAACCACUGAUUGCUGACCAUGUGCCAUGUGCAGGUGUAACACUAAAACGUUUAAGUUCAAGACUGCUUACAACAGUCAGGUUUUGAUUUGUGUAGUGGAAGCAGUCAUGUUUUACACUAGAUCUAGCAUUUUUCCUCCAGGUUUAGAUCACAGGGAACUAAUUGCUGUAAAAACCUUUAUUGUUCAGUCCUGCAGUCUUCACAGAACAAUAAUAAUGGGGACUUUCAUUUUAAUACAUUGUUGAGCAGUAUUAUGAUAAAUAGUGUAGUUAGUACUUUAUUUUCAUAUCCACAAUAUUUUUAUUGACAUUUAACAUGUCUUCAUAAGCUCAUUUCUAAAAAGGAGAAUGUAAAUCUAGCAAGCUUGAAGUGUAAAGCUACAUAUGGAAAUGUUACUUCAGGCAAAGCAAUAGAAAACACUAAGUGUUACUGUACAUAGUAAACAGAUGUGUACAACUCCUAUUUUUUUGCAGGAAAAUUGUGAAUAAUAGUGUGUGCUGUACAGAAAAUAUACCACAAAAUGUUUUGUAUUAUGUCUUUGUUAGGUGUGUGUUGCAUAGGUCUUGAAUGUGCAUGGCUUUACCGCUUCUAGAUCACUUAAAUGUUUUGGAUGAAAGCCAAUGGUUGCGUGGGAAUGACAAAACAUUCACUCCAUCAGUGUACUUCUAUUUAUUUAAUAUUGCUGCUUUGAAUAUUCAUAAGUGAGUCACUUUAACACAUGCUAAAUAUUUUAUAAUUGCAUUAAAUGAACUCAAGUAUGUUUCCAUUCUGUAUUCUGAAACCAGAUCACAACCACCACAGAAGUAUUUUUGUUAUGGGAUCUUUGCAUUUUGUAAGAUGCUUGCAUAGUUUUUAGUUAACAAAAUAAUACUGGGAACCUGGUGACUUACUUAAUAGCUCAUCUGUUAACUUUUCUGUAGGUCAUGUCUGGAACACAGUCAUAUUUGAAAAGUAAAUGCUAAUUGCUGACUGUGCUGAAAUUUAUGUUACUGGAAUAUUUAUGAACUAUGUAGAUGAGCACAGAGUUCUGAUGAAUAGGUUGGAAGUGCAUACAGAAAUUGUGAAUGCUGUAAAGAAAAAAAUGUUUUCUUGGUAAAGAAACAGAAGUAAUCGUAUUGUAUAUGUAAUGUUUAUUUUUCCUAACAUUCUUUAUAAAAUGUGUUAUGCAUACUGUCAUGAACUGUAACAUAGUGUUACAAAAUAAAAAGCUAAAUAUUUA
Protopterus annectens (West African lungfish) is the source of this 11753-nucleotide long non-coding RNA. RefSeq lists it as uncharacterized. The record is from RefSeq and is a predicted model, not a curated record. NCBI's taxonomy places the organism in Eukaryota, Metazoa, Chordata, Ceratodontiformes, Protopteridae. The transcript is spliced from 2 exons.